Sphaerodactylus townsendi is the source of this 579-nucleotide long non-coding RNA. RefSeq lists it as uncharacterized. NCBI's taxonomy places the organism in Eukaryota, Metazoa, Chordata, Lepidosauria, Squamata, Sphaerodactylidae. The transcript is spliced from 2 exons. The record is from RefSeq and is a predicted model, not a curated record.
CUUUUGAAUGCUUAGAGUGUGGAAAGAGAUUCAGUCAGAGCAGCACCUUCGAAAGCAUCAAAUGACUCACACCGGGGAGAGACCUUUUGAAUGCUCAGAGUGUAGAAAGAGAUUCAGUCAGAGUAACAAUCUUCAGUGGCAUCAAACAACUUACACAAUAGAGAGACGUUUUGAAUGCUAAAAGUGUGAAAAGAGUUUCUGUCGGAGUAGCACUCUUCAUCAUCAAAAAACUCACAAAAAGGAGAAACUUUUUGAAUGGUCAGAGUUUGGAAAGAGAUUCAGUCAGAGUGGCCCUUUUAAACAACAUAUAUGACAGUGCUGCCCCAGGACUGUUUGCACAGUGCUGGCUGGGAAAUGCUGUUUCUAAAAAGCCUUGCUCAUUAGCAAGGCAGAAAAACAUUGUUUCCCCUCCGGUUUGGGGGGGAAAGCACGGCACUGCCUUGAUGCAGAUGCGGUGGCCGUGUGAACAGCCCCCCUAGAACAAUGUUUUUACUAUUCCAGUGGUUUUGUUUUUGACUGGUGCGGAGUGGGCCAGAGUGUGAAAAGAGAUUCAAUCAGAGUAGCAAUCAUAAACAGCAU